RNAcentral lists this ribosomal RNA (351 nucleotides) under Acinetobacter junii. RNAcentral's name for it is "bacterial SSU rRNA". It matches the Rfam family "Bacterial small subunit ribosomal RNA", at positions 51 to 404 of the family's 1533-position model. Lineage: Bacteria; Pseudomonadati; Pseudomonadota; Gammaproteobacteria; Moraxellales; Moraxellaceae. The record is from RNAcentral.
ACACAUGCAAGUCGAGCGGAGAUGAGGUGCUUGCACCUUAUCUUAGCGGCGGACGGGUGAGUAAUGCUUAGGAAUCUGCCUAUUAGUGGGGGACAACAUUCCGAAAGGAAUGCUAAUACCGCAUACGUCCUACGGGAGAAAGCAGGGGAUCUUCGGACCUUGCGCUAAUAGAUGAGCCUAAGUCGGAUUAGCUAGUUGGUGGGGUAAAGGCCUACCAAGGCGACGAUCUGUAGCGGGUCUGAGAGGAUGAUCCGCCACACUGGGACUGAGACACGGCCCAGACUCCUACGGGAGGCAGCAGUGGGGAAUAUUGGACAAUGGGGGGAACCCUGAUCCAGCCAUGCCGCGUGU